GAUGAAGAACGUAGCGAAAUGCGAUAACUAAUGUGAAUUGCAGAAUUCAGUGAAUCAUCGAGUCUUUGAACGCACAUUGCGCCCCCUGGUAUUCCGGGGGGCAUGCCUGUCCGAGCGUCAUUGCUGCCCUCAAGCACGGCUUGUGUGUUGGGCCUCCGUCCUCCUCCCGGGGGACGGGCCCGAAAGGCAGCGGCGGCACCGCGUCCGGUCCUCGAGCGUAUGGGGCUUCGUCACCCGCUCUUGUAGGCCCGGCCGGCGCUUGCCGACACAUCAAUCUUUUUUCCAGGUUGACCUCGGAUCAGGUAGGGAUACCCGCUGAACUUAAGCAUAUCAAUAAGCGGAGGA
RNAcentral lists this unclassified non-coding RNA (345 nucleotides) under soil metagenome. RNAcentral's name for it is "partial contains 5.8S ribosomal RNA, internal transcribed spacer 2, and large subunit ribosomal RNA". The stretch from base 1 to 120 matches the Rfam family "5.8S ribosomal RNA", at positions 35 to 154 of the family's 154-position model. The record is from RNAcentral.